GCUAACUACGUGCCAGCAGCCGCGGUAAUACGUAGGGGGCAAGCGUUGUCCGGAUUUACUGGGCGUAAAGGGCGCGUAGGCGGUCUAAUAAGUCAGAUGUGAAAGUCCAGGGCUCAACCCUGGAAUUGCAUUUGAAACUGUAAGACUUGAGUGCAGGAGAGGAGAGCGGAAUUCCUAGUGUAGCGGUGAAAUGCGUAGAUAUUAGGAAGAACACCAGUGGCGAAGGCGGCUCUCUGGACUGUAACUGACGCUGAGGCGCGAAAGCGUGGGUAGC
RNAcentral lists this ribosomal RNA (274 nucleotides) under uncultured prokaryote. Its description in RNAcentral is "partial 16S ribosomal RNA". It matches the Rfam family "Bacterial small subunit ribosomal RNA", at positions 496 to 769 of the family's 1533-position model. The record is from RNAcentral.